AGCCUGGACAGAGAAGGAGUCAAGGGAGCCAGUGCCUUUAGACCUGCUCCAUACUUGGAGAAGCUCCGAAUGUUCUGUGUGGGGGAACCCACGAACGCCUAUUUGCCCUUCCUGAAUCCCCGAAUCUACCUGGGUUCAGAUACUGACUGGCACCGAGGACACCGAGCUGGCUCGGGAUUCCCGGGUCACGCUGUUGGGCAUCGAGAGGGUGCAGCAGGACACGCCCACGGUGGCCUCGGGCAACUCGUCGUCCUCCGUCCACUCGUUGAGCUCCGGGCUGAAGCACUGGAUGCACUUCUUGUACUUCUUCUCGCCCUCGUUCCAGCCCCCCAGCAGGGUCUCUGUACAGGAUGUCUCUACUAAGGGACUUCUCAGUAAGGCCUGGACGUCCCCCAACAGUGACGAGGACUCGACAGCCCCCACGGAUUCUCGUGCGCCUAGACUGCAAUGUGUUUUGAUGAUAUGGAAGUGUACAUUCCUGGGGAGCUGCGUAUCUUCAUAUUGCCGCGCAACCAUCGCCACCUGCCAUCUCCAGAAAUUUUUCAUCUUCCCAAACUGGAAUCCCUCCAGUCCCUCCAGUCUCCCUCCAGUUCCCAGCAACCACCCUCCAUCCUCUUCUUGCUUUUUAAUGAGUGAAUUCUUUUAAAGAUGUUCUUUUGGACAACAUUUUUUACCUAUCAGAGGUAAUUCUGUUCUUAGGAACUAUAAUGAAUGCAAAUAAUCAUUCAUGAUAUUUUGGGUGAACCAACUAUGCUCUUGUUUCCAAAAUGGUUAAGGUUUUAUUCAUUUACUGGGUCAUUCAUUCAUUCUUUCAACAACAAAUUAUUACAUCAUGUCUUAGCCUGGGUUUCCCUGAAAGCAGAGCCUGAGACAAGAGGUGUAUUUGGGAAGCGAUCCCGGGGAGGCGUGAGAGGCCAGGAGACUGAAAAAGGACAGAGGGGAAGACAGCAGCACAAGGAUGCAUUAAAAAGUUGGCUAGCACUGUGGGCUGCUGUGCCCCAGCCCCCUGGACCUCUUGAGAUUUCUGAAGUGGAUCUCGUAACCGUCCACAUGGACCAAGAAUGGCCUCACAGGCAUUAACACUCUGGCCUCUGGCUUGUGUAUUCUUGUGAGUCAAGUGGGUUCUCCCAGGAUUCUGUACCUUGGGCCAGAGAAGCACCAGGGCAGGAAGAGAGAGCGAUGUGGCAUGGGCCCAGUGGGGUACUGACACAUUAUACCUGCAUCAUGUAGCUGAAUGCUUGCACAGAACUGGGGGCUGGGGUAGUGGCUGGAACAGGAGGUGGGCACAGGUGGUGCUCCAUACACAGGCACUGAACUAGGCACUGGACUGGAGCCACGGCAGUAAGCAAAAGAAGGCACGGGCCCUUCCUUCUGGAACGUACAGACACAGAUAGGUGAUAGAAAAUAGGAGCCCUGGGGCAGCUGCAGAAUUGUUCUGCUGGAUACUCAUGACUCUGGACGAUUAUGAAUGAGCCGUCCAACCACUUGAGAAUAGCUGCUGGACACUGUACAAGGAAGACGGGCGAAUACAUUGAGGAGCAAGAGCAUACAGGUCCAGCCUCAUGAAUAUGGUG
Ailuropoda melanoleuca (giant panda) is the source of this 1574-nucleotide long non-coding RNA. RefSeq lists it as uncharacterized. NCBI's taxonomy places the organism in Eukaryota, Metazoa, Chordata, Mammalia, Carnivora, Ursidae. The record is from RefSeq and is a predicted model, not a curated record. The transcript has 4 exons.